Molecule: long non-coding RNA, 453 nt
Filed under: Nicotiana benthamiana
Lineage: Eukaryota; Viridiplantae; Streptophyta; Magnoliopsida; Solanales; Solanaceae
Description: long non-coding RNA (NBEN_LNC039999)
Source: RNAcentral
UUUAGUCACGUUUUCAUGUUCCAAUUGAACACUGUCCAUUUUUUAUUAUUCUCAAAGAAUAAGAUUAUUCUCUUUACCAAACACAUGGGGAUCCAAUCACGAUCUUAUGUAUAAGAAGAACAAAAGAUCUUUCUUGAUCAAUCCCUUUGCCUCUCAUUCUUCAAGAAUAAGGAAGAUCCUUUUCAAGUUUGAAUUUGUUCAUUUGAAAUCUGGGUUCUUCUACUUCAUAUUUAUUUAAUAUGAAUAUUUUCCCUCUCUUUUUUUUAUAUCAUUCCUUAAGUCCCAUAGGUUUGAUCCUGUAGAAUUUGACCCAUUUUCUCAUUGAACGAAAGGUACGAAAUAAAUCAGAUUGAUAAAAGUACCAUAGGUUUGAUCCUGUAGAAUUUGACCCAUUUUUCCCCUUCCUCGAUCCCUAUCCCAUAGGUUAGGUACAGUGUUUGAAUCAAUAGAGAA